This 1247-nucleotide long non-coding RNA is filed under the name Lepisosteus oculatus (spotted gar). RNAcentral's name for it is "lncRNA (ENSLOCG00000022019.1)". The record is from RNAcentral. Lineage: Eukaryota; Metazoa; Chordata; Actinopteri; Semionotiformes; Lepisosteidae.
UCGAGAUCCUCUGGUGGCGAACAGUAUCGCGAUGCCAAUUUCGCCGGCGAAUUUCCGCCGUUGUGUCUCAGUCAUUAGAAACACAGUGUUCCCAACUGCUCCCGCCCCGCUUCCCUGUUCAGCGCCGACUCCCGGCUCACAGACGGUCAGGACUGUUUCUGCAGUGAGUCGGCACCACUGCUCUGUGCAGCUUCACCCAGAGGGACAGUCAUCAUGGACUGAGCUGCUCAGCGUCUCACAGUGUCCUAGACCAGAGGAGGACAGACCCGCUGUGUCCACUGGAUGAACACUGACCAGUGGUACAGCUCCCUGAAUCUGCUGCCUUCCUCCAGGACAGCUGCUGUGUGAUGGAAUCUGAUUCAGAGGCUCUAGACCAGAGUGUCUCACCACACAGUUAAUCCUCAGCUGCUCUUCACCAGUACAGCGCCUGACUGGGUGAGCUCUCUUGACCUAAUCGAGCAUCUCAAGGACUACUCAAACAUAACCACAAAUAAAUCACAGCACCGAUUUUGCUUUGACAGGUUUAACUGUGUGAUAUUUAAAGAGAGGUGAAAAAUAAAACCAAGAAAUGUCUUUUAAACUGGAUCAUAUCCAUCACUUCCCAAUGAUGUACAAUAAGUGCAUUAUCACUGUGAGCAUCGCUUCACGGCAGUAUAAGAAAUCCAGCUUCAAUAAAAUACAGCACGUGCAACCGAAGAAGAAGUAACUAUAAAGUGCAAAACAUAAAAAUUCAAAUGAACAACAUACACAUAGCCAAAAUGUCUUACUAGUAAAUGGCAAGGUCACAGUUAAGCAACAGUGUGGUUUAAAUAGAUAGAUACUUUACUGAUCCCGUGAGGAUAAUUGCAGUGCAACAGCAGCUUAACACAGACAACACAGACACAGUGUAACGAAUUAUACAAUAAUAAUAAUACAAUAAAUCGGCCAUAUUAGUUAAUUAAUAAUAAUUAACUAAUUAAUUAGCCAUAUAAAUGAGCCACUAUUAGGCACAAUUAAUUAGCCAUAUAAAUCACUGCAAUAAGGACAAGAGCUAAACAAGCAUUAAAGCAGCACACAGGUUAAUAUGACUGAGAAAUGCUUCACUUAAGCCUGUCUCACAAUUUCACUGCAAUAUUCUUUUCAGCACAAGAGAGACGUGACAGAAGCAGCACUUCAGUGAACUGGUGUCUGACUCCAAGGAGCCGGGUGACUGGUACUGUAACACACUGCAGCCUGUCCACAGGAGGACGAGUCCUCAUCCCGGGACA